UUUACCACCACGGCGCCGUGAGGGCCGCGGGCCGGCAGGGGGCGCCCUGCGCCCGCCGUGCGGGGCUGGCCGAGGGGGAACCUUCUGGAAGGGCCCGGGGCCGGGCCGUGCCCGGGGGACACCGUGCCCACGCGUUCGUGAAGAGCAAGGUCAGUCCCGGGACUGAGAACUUGACUCGGGUGAGACGGUGGAUUUAAUUCCAGCAGUCAGCCCCGCGGCCGGGGCAGAGGGAUAACCGGGGAUGUACCACCGUAAAACAAUCCCGAGGCUUCCCUGGAAGAUCCUGACAGUUUCGGGAAGGCUCUGUUACUUUCCAGUAAUUUCCAGGGUAAAUUGAUCUAUCACCGAGGGAGAAGCCCAGCGCCUCCUGCCCCCGUGGAAAGGGUGCCGAGAGGAAGAGCUGCAGCCCAACGUCGGCUGAAAACCCGGGGUUAAAACCAGAGUAUGUUUGCUCAGCAGGUACCCGAAGGAGUGACCCUGACGUUCGCUCUCCCGUUUUGCUCUGUCGGCCCCUUUGCGUUUGUAGGUGGGCUUUGUGCGUUUGUUCCUCAGAAGUAGUUAUUAUUGCUGUUAGUGAUUGUAGAGACGUAAAAAAGGACGUUAGAAAAAAGUGAAUUCGUAGCCUGCUAGCAGAGAGCACCCCUCGCUCUCCUGGCAAUUGAGAUAAGGGUGUCGAUUGGGGUU
Molecule: long non-coding RNA, 684 nt
Organism: Neopelma chrysocephalum (saffron-crested tyrant-manakin)
Lineage: Eukaryota; Metazoa; Chordata; Aves; Passeriformes; Pipridae
Exons: 5
Source: RefSeq, a predicted model, not a curated record